Long non-coding RNA from Episyrphus balteatus (marmalade hoverfly), 267 nucleotides. RefSeq lists it as uncharacterized. The transcript is spliced from 3 exons. NCBI's taxonomy places the organism in Eukaryota, Metazoa, Arthropoda, Insecta, Diptera, Syrphidae. The record is from RefSeq and is a predicted model, not a curated record.
UAGAAGAAAAUAAAACAAAAUUAAUAAAAAAAAAAAAAAAAAAACAAAAGUCAAUAGAUAGUGGUGAAAAGUUCUUUUCGAACAUAAUCACAAAGAUCUGUUUGAAAUUUUUUUUAUUGAAUUUCCUGUACUAACUUGUGGUGAACAAAAUUAUAAAUUUUGCAAAAUAAUUAAAAGUGGUUUAUUAUCGGCGGUCCCAGAUUGUCAUAAAAGGGCUGGGCCGCCGCACCGUUAUAAAAAUUCAUUAUUUUUCAACCUUUUUUUUUU